Molecule: long non-coding RNA, 1321 nt
Organism: Gallus gallus (chicken)
Lineage: Eukaryota; Metazoa; Chordata; Aves; Galliformes; Phasianidae
Source: Ensembl
GCCGGAGCCCAACCGUCUCCAGGCUUGCACAGAGCCUGGGCUGGGCCCAGCUGUCCCACUCAGCCAUGCGCCUCUGCUGCCUCUCUCCCCAGUUGUGCUUCUGCUUCACGAGAGCUGCAGUGUUCCAGCACAACUGCCAGGAGAACCAACGCCUCCCCGUGCUGGGGAAGCUGGCCGGACACCUCAUCCUGUGCUGCAGCUCCACGGACGAGAGGACCAGAGAUGAGGCGAUGAAGGCUAUCCAUCAGCUUUUCACCUUCAUCACCGCCCCAGGUGAGAGGAGUUGUGUUGGGUUAGGUCCCCCCAGACCUCCAGAUGCCCAGGCCCCUCACUGACAUUGCGUGCGCUCCUCUCCAGGAUUGUUGCCGAAGCAGAAGGAGCCCAAGAUGCCACAGCCCUGGGACAGCCAGCAAACUCUGCUCCCCCAGGAGGUUUCCCAUGAGGACAGAGCCAGAAAUGUCUUUGAGGUAUGAGGAACAAACCCUGAGCCCACAGGAGAACCCAAGCCUGCAGAGUCAGGAAGAGUGCAGGAGCUGUCCCCGAGAUGCCCUGGUGCACGUAGGGCCCUCACGCCCCGUAUCCCCAGUGUCACCCAGCCCCUGCUCCCAGUUCUCCUGAGGCAGCAGCAUGGCCGAGCAGCCACGCAGGUGAUGAGUCAUCCCUCUUCUCCUUCCUCCUACAGGUGCUUCGGAAAUGCCUCCUGUACCCCGAAACGGUCAAUAUCUUACUCACAGCCAUUGAGAGUAUGACAGCGCCGGGCCUCCACAGCACCCAGCUGGCUGCCCACAUGGUGGAUGUCCUCACAGCAAAGGCUCGCUUCCCUCCACGGGAGGUGGGAACCUGCUGCUGCCAAGGCUCCAGCCCUCGGGGCUCUGCUCCAGCCCUGGCACUGGCAUCACGCUUGGCCGGCAGGCAGCAGCUGGGUUGGCAGCAGGGCUCUGCUCUGCUGCCAUCCCAUUCUCACCCGUGUCCCCCUCCAGGUGCGAAAGAUCGUGAACGUGAUCUACAGCAGCCUGCCUUCCAUCAAAGCCCAGCUGGCUCUCAAAAGCCUGGGCAGGGCCCUGCUCGUGCUGGUCAGCAAAUUCCCAAGGGAGAUGGUUACCAGCCUGCUGGUCUGCUCCCCCACCUGCACCAGGGUCGCUGUCACCAUGUGGAGGGAAAUGCUCUCGGAGCCCCCGGCCGUGGAGAAGGUGCUGCAGCAGCUGCUCCCAGUGCUCAGAAACCAUUCUCUGCACCACACGUCCCCUUUCAUCAAGGACUGGCCACGUGUCCUCGCCCUGGCCGUGAGUUCCUCACUCACCCCGCUGAGCCUGAGUCCCCA